This 457-nucleotide ribosomal RNA is filed under the name uncultured bacterium. Its description in RNAcentral is "bacterial SSU rRNA". It matches the Rfam family "Bacterial small subunit ribosomal RNA", at positions 343 to 791 of the family's 1533-position model. The record is from RNAcentral.
UGGAGGCAGCAGUGGGGAAUUGUUCGCAAUGGGCGCAAGCCUGACGACGCAAUGCCGCGUGGAGGACGAAGAUUUUCGGAUCGUAAACUCCUGUCGAGCGGGACGAACGGCCUGGGGGUUAACACCCUCUGGGAGUGACGGUACCGCUAAAGGAAGCCCCGGCUAACUCCGUGCCAGCAGCCGCGGUAAUACGGGGGGGGCAAGCGUUGUUCGGAAUUACUGGGCGUAAAGGGCGCGUAGGCGGCCUUCUAAGUCAGACGUGAAAUCCCUCGGCUCAACCGGGGAACUGCGUCUGAUACUGGAGGGCUUGGAUCCGGGAGAGGGAUGCGGAAUUCCAGGUGUAGCGGUGAAAUGCGUAGAUAUCUGGAGGAACACCGGUGGCGAAGGCGGCAUCCUGGACCGGCAUCGACGCUGAGGCGCGAAAGCCAGGGGAGCAAACGGGAUUAGAUACCCCGGU